Molecule: microRNA precursor, 61 nt
Filed under: Chinchilla lanigera (long-tailed chinchilla)
Lineage: Eukaryota; Metazoa; Chordata; Mammalia; Rodentia; Chinchillidae
Description: miRNA (ENSCLAG00000021279.1)
Source: RNAcentral
UAGGUGUGUGUACUUUACUUGUUGCGUAGGUUUGUACGCAUGUACAUACACACACAUAUAU